Molecule: ribosomal RNA, 467 nt
Filed under: uncultured bacterium
Lineage: Bacteria
Description: partial 16S ribosomal RNA
Rfam family: Bacterial small subunit ribosomal RNA
Source: RNAcentral
GACGAGCGCUGGCGGCGUGCUUAACACAUGCAAGUCGAACGGAAAGGCCCUGCUUUUGUGGGGUGCUCGAGUGGCGAACGAGUGAGUAACACGUGAGUAACCUGCCCUUGACUUUGGGAUAACUUCAGGAAACUGGGGCUAAUACCGGAUAGGAGCUCCUGCUGCAUGGUGGGGGUUGGAAAGUUUCGGCGGUUGGGGAUGGACUCGCGGCUUAUCAGCUUGUUGGUGGGGUAGUGGCUUACCAAGGCUUUGACGGGUAGCCGGCCUGAGAGGGUGACCGGCCACAUUGGGACUGAGAUACGGCCCAGACUCCUACGGGAGGCAGCAGUGGGGAAUAUUGCACAAUGGGCGGAAGCCUGAUGCAGCAACGCCGCGUGCGGGAGGACGGCCUUCGGGUUGUAAACCGCUUUCGCCUGUGACGAAGCGUGAGUGACGGUAAUGGGUAAAGAAGCACCGGCUAACUACGU